This 209-nucleotide long non-coding RNA is filed under the name Elaeis guineensis (African oil palm). RNAcentral's name for it is "long non-coding RNA (EGUI_LNC050318)". The record is from RNAcentral. Lineage: Eukaryota; Viridiplantae; Streptophyta; Magnoliopsida; Arecales; Arecaceae.
AUGCAUGCAUAAAAUAUAAAAUAUAUGAAUCUACUUCAUAUGCUGAAAUUGGACACAUGUUGAAUUUUAUGCUGAAAUUCAAUAUGUGAUCAAAUCAUAUCUGUUUUAUAAUUUCUUUCUUCAAAUCUAGAUCUGAAAGAGAGUAGAUUCUUUCUUAGCCAUAUAAACAUCCGAUCUCUAUGGGUAUCUACUCAGAAUCAGCUGGGAAC